CGUGAACCAUCGAGUCUUUGAACGCAAGUUGCGCCCCAAGCCAUUAGGCCGAGGGCACGUCUGCCUGGGUGUCACGC
RNAcentral lists this ribosomal RNA (77 nucleotides) under Citrus x aurantiifolia. RNAcentral describes it as "Citrus aurantiifolia partial 5.8S ribosomal RNA". It matches the Rfam family "5.8S ribosomal RNA", at positions 83 to 154 of the family's 154-position model. From Rfam's summary of the family: 5.8S ribosomal RNA (5.8S rRNA) is a component of the large subunit of the eukaryotic ribosome. It is transcribed by RNA polymerase I as part of the 45S precursor that also contains 18S and 28S rRNA. The record is from RNAcentral. Lineage: Eukaryota; Viridiplantae; Streptophyta; Magnoliopsida; Sapindales; Rutaceae.